UCCUGUGACUCUUCACUAGGACUAUCCUGGCCAAGGUUUUGCUAAAUUGAAACACGACUGUACACAGCUCUUAAACUGGAGUGGUCAAUCCCAUCUUGACACACGCAUCGACAAGUCAAGUACUUGACUACACCCAGCAGCCUUCCGUCAUUGAAUUAAAAAUUCAGGUAGUCCAGUGACUAAGUGCAGUGAGUUGCUUGCAAGUCACCGUGGCGGU
Molecule: long non-coding RNA, 217 nt
Filed under: Elaeis guineensis (African oil palm)
Lineage: Eukaryota; Viridiplantae; Streptophyta; Magnoliopsida; Arecales; Arecaceae
Description: long non-coding RNA (EGUI_LNC074248)
Source: RNAcentral